RNAcentral lists this ribosomal RNA (433 nucleotides) under uncultured bacterium. RNAcentral describes it as "partial 16S ribosomal RNA". It matches the Rfam family "Bacterial small subunit ribosomal RNA", at positions 29 to 507 of the family's 1533-position model. The record is from RNAcentral.
GCGAACGCUGGCGGCAGGCCUCACCCAUGCCAGUCGCACGAACCUUUCGGGGUUAGUGGCGGACGGGUGAGUAACACGUGGGAACGUGCCUUUAGGUUCGGAAUAACUCAGGGAAACUUGUGCUAAUACCGAAUGUGCCCUUCGGGGGAAAGAUUUAUCGCCUUUAGAGCGGCCCGCGUCUGAUUAGCUAGUUGGUUGAGGUAAUGGCUCACCAAGGCGACGAUCAGUAGCUGGUCUGAGAGGAUGAUCAGCCACAUUGGGACUGAGACACGGCCCAAACUCCUACGGGAGGCAGCAGUGGGGAAUCUUGCGCAAUGGGCGAAAGCCUGACGCAGCCAUGCCGCGUGAAUGAUGAAGGUCUUAGGAUUGUAAAAUUCUUUCACCGGGGACGAUAAUGACGGUACCCGGAGAAGAAGCCCCGGCUAACUUCGUG